GACCUUGAAAUACCACCCUUUAAUGUUUGAUGUUCUAACGUUGACCCGUAAUCCGGGUUGCGGACAGUGUCUGGUGGGUAGUUUGACUGGGGCGGUCUCCUCCUAAAGAGUAACGGAGGAGCACGAAGGUUGGCUAAUCCUGGUCGGACAUCAGGAGGUUAGUGCAAUGGCAUAAGCCAGCUUGACUGCGAGCGUGACGGCGCGAGCAGGUGCGAAAGCAGGUCAUAGUGAUCCGGUGGUUCUGAAUGGAAGGGCCAUCGCUCAACGGAUAAAAGGUACUCCGGGGAUAACAGGCUGAUACCGCCCAAGAGUUCAUAUCGACGGCGGUGUUUGGCACCUCGAUGUCGGCUCAUCACAUCCUGGGGCUGAAGUAGGUCCCAAGGGUAUGGCUGUUCGCCAUUUAAAGUGGUACGCGAGCUGGGUUUAGAACGUCGUGAGACAGUUCGGUCCCUAUCUGCCGUGGGCGCUG
This 469-nucleotide ribosomal RNA is filed under the name Escherichia coli. Its description in RNAcentral is "partial 23S ribosomal RNA". It matches the Rfam family "Bacterial large subunit ribosomal RNA", at positions 2188 to 2656 of the family's 2925-position model. Lineage: Bacteria; Pseudomonadati; Pseudomonadota; Gammaproteobacteria; Enterobacterales; Enterobacteriaceae. The record is from RNAcentral.